RNAcentral lists this ribosomal RNA (492 nucleotides) under uncultured bacterium. RNAcentral's name for it is "partial 16S ribosomal RNA". It matches the Rfam family "Bacterial small subunit ribosomal RNA", at positions 29 to 507 of the family's 1533-position model. The record is from RNAcentral.
AGUGAACGCUGGCGGUAGGCCUAACACAUGCAAGUCGAACGGAAGCACAGUAAGAGCUUGCUCUUACGGGUGGCGAGUGGCGGACGGGUGAGGAAUACAUCGGAAUCUACUUUUUCGUGGGGGAUAACGUAGGGAAACUUCCGCUAAUACCGCAUACGACCUACGGGUGAAAGCAGGGGAUCUUCGGACCUUGCCCGACUGAUUGAGCUGAUGUCGGAUUAGCUAGUUGGCGGGGUAAAGGCCCACCGAGGCGACGAUCCGUAGCUGGUCUGAGAGGAUGAUCAGCCACACUGGAACUGAGACACGGUCCAGACUCCUACGGGAGGCAGCAGUGGGGAAUAUUGGACAAUGGGCGCAAGCCUGAUCCAGCCAUACCGCGUGAGUGAAGAAGGCCUUCGGGUUGUAAAGCCCUUUUGUUGGGAAAGAAAAGCAGCAGGUGAAUACCCCGCUGUUCUGACGGUACCCAAAGAAUAAGCACCGGCUAACUUCGUG